Molecule: ribosomal RNA, 903 nt
Filed under: Cordyceps militaris
Lineage: Eukaryota; Fungi; Ascomycota; Sordariomycetes; Hypocreales; Cordycipitaceae
Description: partial large subunit ribosomal RNA
Rfam family: Eukaryotic large subunit ribosomal RNA
Source: RNAcentral
CGGGGGGGGGAAGAACCAACAGGGAUUGCCCUAGUAACGGCGAGUGAAGCGGCAACAGCUCAAAUUUGAAAUCUGGCCCCCGGGUCCGAGUUGUAAUUUGUAGAGGAUGCUUUUGGCGAGGUGCCUUCCGAGUUCCCUGGAACGGGACGCCAUAGAGGGUGAGAGCCCCGUCUGGUCGGACACCGAGCCUCUGUAAAGCUCCUUCGACGAGUCGAGUAGUUUGGGAAUGCUGCUCAAAAUGGGAGGUAUAUGUCUUCUAAAGCUAAAUAUUGGCCAGAGACCGAUAGCGCACAAGUAGAGUGAUCGAAAGAUGAAAAGCACUUUGAAAAGAGGGUUAAAAAGUACGUGAAAUUGUUGAAAGGGAAGCGCCUAUGACCAGACUUGGGCCCGGUGAAUCACCCAGCGUUCUCGCUGGUGCACUUCGCCGGGCACAGGCCAGCAUCAGUUUGGCGCGGGGGAGAAAGGCUUCGGGAAUGUGGCUCCCCUGGGAGUGUUAUAGCCCGUUGCGCAAUACCCUGCGCUGGACUGAGGUACGCGCAUUCGCAAGGAUGCUGGCGUAAUGGUCAUCAGCGACCCGUCUUGAAACACGGACCAAGGAGUCGUCUUCGUAUGCGAGUGUUCGGGUGUCAAACCCCUACGCGUAAUGAAAGUGAACGCAGGUGAGAGCUUCGGCGCAUCAUCGACCGAUCCUGAUGUUCUCGGAUGGAUUUGAGUAAGAGCAUACGGGGCCGGACCCGAAAGAAGGUGAACUAUGCCUGUAUAGGGUGAAGCCAGAGGAAACUCUGGUGGAGGCUCGCAGCGGUUCUGACGUGCGAAUCGAUCGUCAAAUAUGGGCAUGGGGGCGAAAGACUAAUCGAACCUUCUAGUAGCUGGUUUCCGCGUUUUUCUCUCUCUUCGCAGAAA